GAUGAACGCUGGCGGCGUGCCUAAUACAUGCAAGUCGAGCGAACGGACGAGAAGCUUGCUUCUCUGAUGUUAGCGGCGGACGGGUGAGUAACACGUGGAUAACCUACCUAUAAGACUGGGAUAACUUCGGGAAACCGGAGCUAAUACCGGAUAAUAUUUUGAACCGCAUGGUUCAAAAGUGAAAGACGGUCUUGCUGUCACUUAUAGAUGGAUCCGCGCUGCAUUAGCUAGUUGGUAAGGUAACGGCUUACCAAGGCAACGAUGCAUAGCCGACCUGAGAGGGUGAUCGGCCACACUGGAACUGAGACACGGUCCAGACUCCUACGGGAGGCAGCAGUAGGGAAUCUUCCGCAAUGGGCGAAAGCCUGACGGAGCAACGCCGCGUGAGUGAUGAAGGUCUUCGGAUCGUAAAACUCUGUUAUUAGGGAAGAACAUAUGUGUAAGUAACUGUGCACAUCUUGACGGUACCUAAUCAGAAAGCCACGGCUAACUACGUGCCAGCAGCCGCGGUAAUACGUAGGUGGCAAGCGUUAUCCGGAAUUAUUGGGCGUAAAGCGCGCGUAGGCGGUUUUUUAAGUCUGAUGUGAAAGCCCACGGCUCAACCGUGGAGGGUCAUUGGAAACUGGAAAACUUGAGUGCAGAAGAGGAAAGUGGAAUUCCAUGUGUAGCGGUGAAAUGCGCAGAGAUAUGGAGGAACACCAGUGGCGAAGGCGACUUUCUGGUCUGUAACUGACGCUGAUGUGCGAAAGCGUGGGGAUCAAACUGGAUUAGAUACCCUGGUAGUCCACGCCGUAAACGAUGAGUGCUAAGUGUUAGGGGGUUUCCGCCCCUUAGUGCUGCAGCUAACGCAUUAAGCACUCCGCCUGGGGAGUACGACCGCAAGGUUGAAACUCAAAGGAAUUGACGGGGACCCGCACAAGCGGUGGAGCAUGUGGUUUAAUUCGAAGCAACGCGAAGAACCUUACCAAAUCUUGACAUCCUUUGACAACUCUAGAGAUAGAGCCUUCCCCUUCGGGGGACAAAGUGGCAGGUGGUGCAUGGUUGUCGUCAGCUCGUGUCGUGAGAUGUUGGGUUAAGUCCCGCAACGAGCGCAACCCUUAAGCUUAGUUGCCAUCAUUAAGUUGGGCACUCUAAGUUGACUGCCGGUGACAAACCGGAGGAAGGUGGGGAUGACGUCAAAUCAUCAUGCCCCUUAUGAUUUGGGCUACACACGUGCUACAAUGGACAAUACAAAGGGCAGCGAAACCGCGAGGUCAAGCAAAUCCCAUAAAGUUGUUCUCAGUUCGGAUUGUAGUCUGCAACUCGACUACAUGAAGCUGGAAUCGCUAGUAAUCGUAGAUCAGCAUGCUACGGUGAAUACGUUCCCGGGUCU
This 1372-nucleotide ribosomal RNA is filed under the name uncultured bacterium. RNAcentral describes it as "bacterial SSU rRNA". It matches the Rfam family "Bacterial small subunit ribosomal RNA", at positions 28 to 1381 of the family's 1533-position model. The record is from RNAcentral.